Molecule: unclassified non-coding RNA, 584 nt
Filed under: Hevea brasiliensis (rubber tree)
Lineage: Eukaryota; Viridiplantae; Streptophyta; Magnoliopsida; Malpighiales; Euphorbiaceae
Source: RNAcentral
AAAAUUUAUUGGUUAAUUGCCCCAUAUAAUCAGCUAAAAUUUUGAUAAACAGUGUAUGUUCAAGAAAGAGCAUUGUGACAUGAAGAAACAUAGAGUAACUUAAAUAUCAGACACCCAUUUGCCUGACAGUUGAAAUAAUAGGAAAUUCUAUCCAGGUGCAUAACAACACUAUAAAUCCAAUUUCAGACAUAGUGAUUGUUGGAUAACAAGUUAACAAACAUAUAUGAUUCACGGGUCAGAAGACCUUUCAGAGGUACAACUAUCACUCUGAGCAUUUGGUGCAAAUCUACCAACACUAGAAAGAACUAAAAAUGGAAACUAUUAACAGCAUUCAAAGUAUAUCAUAGGAGUCUAAUAAAAAGAUGAAAGCAUAUGGAAUAGUGUACUACGCAAACAUUUUGUCAACAUAGAAACAAACACAAUUGCACUAGCAAAGUCAUAUCUGGCAUGAUUCUACAGAUUAUAAGUAACUAAAUAAGAUUAACAUUUGCAGUUGAUGAGUGAUGCAUUAUUUCAUCAUAAAAUCAGGUGUGUUUCCUUGUUAAUAUUUUUUUUAGCACAAACCUGCCCCACAAUUGACCUGU